RNAcentral lists this transfer RNA (75 nucleotides) under Cordylochernes scorpioides. RNAcentral's name for it is "tRNA-Thr". Lineage: Eukaryota; Metazoa; Arthropoda; Arachnida; Pseudoscorpiones; Chernetidae. The record is from RNAcentral.
UGUCCAGGGAUGGGAAUCGUACCCAUAGUGUUUUGCUUACCGGGCAGAUGCCAUGUCCACUAGGUUACCCUAUAC